Molecule: ribosomal RNA, 428 nt
Filed under: uncultured Clostridium sp.
Lineage: Bacteria; Bacillati; Bacillota; Clostridia; Eubacteriales; Clostridiaceae
Description: bacterial SSU rRNA
Rfam family: Bacterial small subunit ribosomal RNA
Source: RNAcentral
CGAAGCAACGCGAAGAACCUUACCUACGACUUGACAUCUCCUGAAUUACCCGUAACUGGGGAAGCUCUUCGGAGCAGGAAGACAGGUGGUGCAUGGUUGUCGUCAGCUCGUGUCGUGAGAUGUUGGGUUAAGUCCCGCAACGAGCGCAACCCUUAUCGUUAGUUGCUACCAUUAAGUUGAGCACUCUAGCGAGACUGCCCGGGUUAACCGGGAGGAAGGUGGGGAUGACGUCAAAUCAUCAUGCCCCUUAUGUCUAGGGCUACACACGUGCUACAAUGGUGAGGACAAAGAGACGCAAGACCGCGAGGUGGAGCAAAUCUCACAAACCUCAUCCCAGUUCGGAUUGCAGGCUGAAACUCGCCUGCAUGAAGCCGGAGUUGCUAGUAAUCGCGAAUCAGCAUGUCGCGGUGAAUACGUUCCCGGGCCUU